RNAcentral lists this long non-coding RNA (6236 nucleotides) under Brassica napus (rape). RNAcentral's name for it is "long non-coding RNA (BNAP_LNC009163)". The record is from RNAcentral. Lineage: Eukaryota; Viridiplantae; Streptophyta; Magnoliopsida; Brassicales; Brassicaceae.
UGUAAUCCCUGAUCUCCCCGGUGACAUAGAGAUAACUCGAGAACAGAUCAUAGACAACGAAUCCGAGAUGGGAAUGUUUCUUCUUGAUGUAAGAGAGUCAGAAACGAAGAGCUCAGGUGUUAUUGUGAACAGCUUCUACGAGCUUGAACCUGAAUACGCUGAUUUUUUCAAGAGAUUUGUAGCGAAGAGAACGUGGCAAAUCGGCCCGCUCUCCGUUACAAACAGAGGAUUUGAGGAGAAGGCUGAGAGAGGAAAGAAAGCGAGCGUUGAUGAAUCUGAAUGCCUUAAAUGGCUUGACUCCAAGGAAAAAGAUUCAGUCAUUUACAUUUCAUUUGGGAGCGUUGCUUGCUUCAAGAACAAGCAACUGGUAGAGAUCGCCGCAGGGUUAGAAGCUUGCGGCGCAAGUUUCAUCUGGGUUGUGAGGAAAAGCACAAGUGACGACGACAAAGAAGAAUGGUUACCAGAAGGGUUUGAAGAGAGGGUCAAAGGGAGAGGGAUGAUAAUAAGAGGAUGGGCUCCGCAGGUGCUGAUACUUGAGCACCAAGUGACCGGUGGGUUCUUGACUCAUUGCGGCUGGAACUCGCUUCUUGAAGGAGUGGCUGCAGGGCUACCGAUGGUCACAUGGCCUAUUGGAGCUGAGCAGUUCUAUAACGAGAAACUGGUUACACAAGUACUGAGAACGGGAGUGAGCGUUGGAGCCACAAAGCAUGUGAAGAAUAUGGGAGAUGAGAUUAUUAGCAGAGAGAAAGUAGAGAAGGCUGUGAGAGAGGUUUUGGCUUGGGAAGAGGGGGAGGAGAGGAGGAUACGGAUAAAGAAACUGGCGGAGAUGGCUAAAGCCGCUGUGGCAGAAGGAGGGUCUUCUUUUAACGAUCUAAACAACUUCAUACAUGAGUUCAGUUCGUGAUCUGAUACGCACGCUGCUGCUCGUCGACCAGUGAUCAUUCAGUACCAGAGGAGAGGUAGAAAGAAGUGUUGAACCGGGAGGAGCCGUGGUACGAGAUACGUUGGUUUGAUUGGUCAUCUUUAUGCUAGAAGCUAUAGUACGUGUGGAAUAAAGCGAAGAGAGGAGGAAGAUCACUCACACGUGUGAGUAACGGUAGCACAUGAGCUGUCUUGUGUGACGUGUAUGUCCUUUCGUAGCUAUAAGUAGUAGGAGAGUAAGGGGUGUGUGUUAGGCAUGAUUUGGUAGUAACAAGAUAGAGAGAGAAAACAACGUCUUGUAUUACUUUCCUUGAAUCAAUAAAAAGAGUGUUUUGUCUUUAGCGUUUGAUUCUCGAAACCUUGAUACACAAAUCGUAUCAUGAUCCCUAGAGUUCUGGUCAAACAUCUCAUUUAGAAAAUAAGAUUAAACCUAACGUAGUAUACAAGGAAUAAAAGUUAAUCCAUGCAUUGUCAGUAAGUUUGUAAAUCUAGGCUAUUAUAUCAUCGGUUUUUAAUCCGUUUUGGUGAUUUUUAGGUUCAAAGAUUUUUCAUUCCCACUAUGAAUUUGAAUUUGUAUCCAAAAGCUUUUUUUUUAUCUCUAAGAAAUUUUAAGAUUUAGUAUUUUCUAGAGAUUUGAGUCCAAGCGACAUGUUUGUGUGAGAUUUGACUUUUUCUAAGAAGCUGCAAAAACUAUGUUAGAUGUUAGUCGGUUCUGAAUUAUAUUUGUCAAAAUUUCACAAUCAUUAACAGAUCUCAUGAAAAAUACAGUUUAAGAUGAGUGCUUCUUGACAAAAAAAAACGGCAAGAAUGGUGAGACAUUGCCUUGUUACAUUGUUACAUGCUUGUGUGAUAUUUGACUUUUCUUUGCUGGUAAUAGAAGUAUUAAUUAACCAUGCAUAUACAUGUUGUAUCCAGUUAAAAUCUACGUUACUCUAUAAUUUAAUUAACAUAUAGGCUUUAAUGAUAAUAGACCCAGAUGCGGACGGACCUGUGAAUUAGGGGGCCUUAUUCAAAAAUAAAAAUUUAAUAACUAUAGUUUAAACAACAUCUUAAAAUAAUUAUGAACAAAACUAUAGAUAGAUUCUAAGGAGAAAAAGCUGAAAGACAUUGUCGCAAGUUUCGUCUUUCAAUUUUAAAGAGUGUGACCGAUGGUUUGAUUAGUGUAGACCUGGGGAUUUUACCCGAACCGGAACCAAUCCGAAAAUACAAAUUCGAGUCGGAGUCUGGAUCUAGGCUAAAAUACUUAUUGGGUAUAAUUAUUUUGGAUCCGCGGGUUUCAGUUCGUGUCCGAAUCCUGCUAGAGACCCGGUCGGAUACCCAAAAUACCCGAUACUUCUAGUAUAUAUUGAGUAUUUUUGGGUGUUUGGAUAUAUUUUUGGUAUCAUGGAUAUUACUUUUAAGUUUUAGAUUCAGGUUUUUGGUAUAGUUUAAGGUUUCAGGUAAAUUUUAGAUUUUAAGAAAUAUAAUUUGAGUAUUUGAAUAAUUUUGGGUAUUUUUUAGAUCUUCGGAUCAGAUUUCAGGUACAAAUUCGGGGGUUUUUGAGUUUUUGGGUAUUUUUUCGGGUUUUCGGUAUUUUUUGAGUUUUCAGGUGUUUUUCAGAUAUUCAGAUCUAAUUCGGGUACUUUGAAUCUUAAAUACUCGAACCCACACGAACCUGAAAUAUACCAAAAAAUUAUGAGUAUUUUGCGAGUAUAUAAAUUAUAAAACCAAACUUAUCCGGAUUAGUGUAACAAAAGUUAGAGUAAAAUAUUUUACUCUCAGUUUCACUCAAUUACAUCCAAUACUCUAGAAAAGGAAUCUUUUAUUUGUUGUUUCCACUUUUUUUUUUCUACCCUACAAAAGCAAGAGUAAACCGGCGGAAACAAAAAGCAACAUAUAUCUUUCCACUUUAUUUUUACUUUAAUUUACUCCAAUUUAGGCUGUCCACGGACCAGUCAUACCCAAAAAGAGAUGCCUUUAUUUUACUUUUUGUUUUUUUUUUUAUAAUAUUUACGGAGCAUCAUUUAAAUGAACUACCUGAGAUCCACAUAAUAUUCUAUAUGUAUGCUGAGUAUUAAGUUAAAAAAGAAAUGAAAUACAAAUGGUAGAAUAACUUACUCACCAGUGUCACUUGUGAGCGGUAGACAAUGACCUACAUAAUGUUUUCAUAAAUAUCACGUACGUAUAAAAAAUGGAAGUGGGGGACAAUAGAGCGGAGCCCCAUACCAAUGUUUCAUAUAACUCGGCUCUGAAUAGAGCUUUAAUGAUUUUCUAUGGAUUGUGUCAACAAAAUUUGCAGCACGAUCUCAUAUUAUAUAUUAUAUUAGUCAACUAACUACACUCUUAGCUGCAUCAAAAUUUUAUAUAACUCUAGAUUUUGACAUUGAUUUUUUUAAGUUAAAAUUAGAUUUUGGUUCCAUAGGCCUUGAAAAACUGACCCAAGACCACAACAAGUGACGUCUGUACUGUAAAGAUGUCAUAUCUACUCGACCAGAGAGUUUCAGUCUGUUAUAAAUAGAGAGAACUACAUUUGAAGCUUCUACAACCAUUCAACUCUUUUACAAGCUUCAGAAUCUUUCACUUCUCUUGUAAAAUUUGCUCGAAAACAUCUCAUUUUCGUUUCGAUUAAUGCCAAAAAUGAGUAGUGAUUCUCAUAAACUCCAUGUUAUGUUCUUCCCUUUCAUGGGAUAUGGCCACAUGAUCCCAACUCUAGACAUGGCUAAGCUUUUCUCCAGCAGAGGAGCCAAAUCCACAAUCAUCACCACACCUCUCAACGCCAAGAUCCUCCAAAAACCCAUCAACACAUUCAAGAGCCUGAACCCAAGCCUCAAAAUCGAGAUCCUGAUCAUCGAUUUCCCUUGCGUGCAGCUGGGGUUACCAGAAGGAUGUGAAAACCCUGAUUUUUUCACCUCAAACAACAACAGCGACGAAAGACAAACCAUGAUGUUAAAAUUCUUUGCCUCCAUGAGGUUUUUCAAAGACCAGCUUGAGAAGAUCCUCGAGACAACGAGACCAAGCUGUCUUAUCGCUGACAUGUUCUUCCCAUGGGCCACAGAAGCUGCUGAGAAGUUCAAUGUGCCAAGACUUGUGUUCCACGGCACUGGCUAUUUCUCAUUAUGCUCUGAACAUUGCAUCAGAAGAAUGCAUAAACCAAAAAAGAGCUGUGAGCCAUUUAAGGUCCCUGACCUCCCUGGGGACAUUACGAUGACUCAAGGACAGAUGAGAGACCUUGACGAAGAAACCGAGAUGGGGAAGUUUCUGAUCGAGGUUAUAGAAUCUGAAGUGAAGAGCUCUGGUGUUGUUGUGAAUAGCUUCUACGAGCUUGAACCUGAAUACGCAGAUUUUUACAAGAGUUCUGUAGCGACGAGAGCUUGGCAUAUUGGUCCGCUCUCGGUUCACAACAGAGGAUUUGAGGAGAAGGCUAAGAGAGGAAAGAAAGCGAGCAUUGAUGAGGUUGAAUGUCUCAAAUGGCUUAACUCCAAGAAACAAGAUUCGGUUAUUUACGUUUCAUUUGGGAGCGUUGCUUACAUCAAGAACGAGCAAUUGAUAGAGAUCGCUGCAGGGUUAGAAGCUUGUGGCGCAAGUUUCAUUUGGGUUGUGAGAAAACGUGGUGAAAGCAAAGGUACUGAUAGACAAAACACAUGCAUUGAUUGUCUGUUCACAAUAGUUUAUACCAUCGGUUCUAACUGAAACAAUUUUUCUUAAACUCCUAUUUAUACGAUUCAAAUCGGUUUAGAUCAUUUUAAAUCGGGUUAAACCAUUCAAAAUUGGUUAAAAUCGAUUUAAAUUAGUCUAAAUCCGUUAAAUUAUUGUUUGUUCACAAUAGGUUAUACUAAAGUACUAGAGUCGUGUUUGAAAAAAUAACAGCCUAUGUUCGGUUUCUAUGUCUUUAUAUGAAAACAGGCGAAGAAGAAUGGUUACCAGAAGGGUUUGAAGAGAGGGUGAAAGAGAGAGGAAUGAUAAUAAGAGGAUGGGCUCCACAGGUGAUGAUACUUGACCACCAAGCAACCGGUGUUUUCGUGACUCAUUGCGGCUGGAACUCGGUUCUUGAAGGAGUGGCUGCAGGGCUUCCGAUGGUGACGUGGCCGGUUGGAGCGGAGCAAUUCUAUAACGAGAUAUUGGUAACGCAAGUGCUGAAGACGGGAGUUAGCGUGGGAACCAAGAAACAUGCGAGUAUGGGAGAUUUUGUUAGCAGAGAGAGUGUGGAGAAAGCGGUGGGGGAGGUGUUGGUUGGGGAAGAGGCCGAGGAGAGGCGAAGACGGGCAAUGAAGCUGGCUGAGAUGGCUAAAUCCGCCGUGGAAGGAGGGUCUUCUUAUAACGACCUAAGCAACUUCAUAGAAGAGUUCAGCUCAUGAUGAUAUGAUCCGGUUAACUCCUGCUUUUGAGUUUGAAACUACUUAAAUGUAGCAGAUCAUUUUUGAGUUGGUUUGAUAAUAUCAAUUUUCGUUUGAAUUUGAAUUUUUUUUAUUUUUUAUGAAGAUGCAAAAUCAUAUGAGAGUAGUUCAAAUUCUGUUUGGUCGUCGUGUUUGGUGGUUAUAAGAAUAUUUACUUUUAUCAAAUGGAAUAAACAGAUUUGCUACUAGCUAUGGCAGAUUUAAGGGUUCUGCUAUGUUGAGUUCUCGGUUUCCCGCUUGAUCUGCAGUGCAGCCCUAACAACGUUUCCCCUUGUCAGGAUCCCAAUCUUUGUUGCGACCAAACCAAAACAAUAAAAAUGACCAAAAUCAGAUCAAAAUCAAACUGAAAAAUAAUAAUAAGAAGAGAAGAUUGUGUAUUUUUAGAUUCUCUCACCAGUUUUCCAUCUGAAUCCACGACUGGUAAUCUUCGGAACUUUGUUUCAAGAAGCAACCUGGAGACAACAGAUGGUUACAAAUCUUUGUAAGAAAUGUAGCUUUCAGACCGAACUCAUAUUCUGCGAGGAGGAUAACCUGGCAGCAUCUUCUAGAUUGGUGGAACCACGGACAACCAGAGGAGAAGGAGUCAUAUUUGUGCGCUAAUUAUUGCAUGAAAGUGCAUAAACCACAGAACAAAGUAGCUUCGAGUAGUGAGCCUUUUGUAAUCCCUGAUCUCCCCGGUGACAUAGAGAUAACUCGAGAACAGAUCAUAGACAACGAAUCCGAGAUGGGAAUGUUUCUUCUUGAUGUAAGAGAGUCAGAAACGAAGAGCUCAGGUGUUAUUGUGAACAGCUUCUACGAGCUUGAACCUGAAUACGCUGAUUUUUUCAAGAGAUUUGUAGCGAAGAGAACGUGGCAAAUCGGCCCGCUCUCCGUUACAAACAGAGGAUUUGAGGAGAAGGCUGAGAGAGGAAAGAAAGCGAGCGUUGAUGAAUCUGAAUGCCU